UUUCCCGAGGGAGGAAAAGGAGGUGCUGAAAGGGGAUGGGAGCAACAAGUAUAAAUCGAAGAGUAUGUUUUGAUUCUGAGUUGCAUUGCACAGUGUUUUCAUUGUUCUAAGAAAUUCAUGGAAUUGUAUGGAACAUUCCUUCAUGUGAUAGGCAUAUUUGUUUACUAAAUCAAACUGCAUAGUUCCAACAAACAGACAUUCAAAUGCACCAUUUUACACUCUGAAAGUAGGAAGUGCAACUUCUUUAGUGUUUAGAAUGGAUCAGGUGUACUUCAAAUCUUUUCAGUUCUAAAUAAUUAUGAACAUUCUCAAUCAUCAUGUGUGCAAAAAGUGGGCUUAUACAGAUUUGUACAAUUCAUUGUAACAUCAUGGAGCUGAAACUAAUUAUGAUUAAUUUGGUCGUUCUCUGAUGUGUGAUUACGUUAAUGCAAUUGGCACCUUUGUAAUUCGCUAAGCUAAAUUCAAUAUUUCAGGUGUUCUGCGACAACUCAAGUCACCUUCAUAAAUUCUGGAAGCCAACUGUUUUGACACCAGGCCAAGGAGAUAGAGUGCAUUAUUUAGUCAGUUACAAAAAUGCAGUAGCCAAAAACACUAACCAUUUUCCACAUAAAAAACCAUUAAUUACCGUUCCCUCUCCAUUUGCCUCUUCAGAUCCUUAGGGUCUACAUCUAUGAUACAUUCUAGUUAGUUUAGCAUCUCACCAGUUAUCUGAAUAAUACAUAAGCAUCCAGUACAAGGGCAUUUUUACCUUGGUACAUGGCAUCUCAUCAGUUAUCUGAAUAAUAAAUAAGCAUGCAGUACAAGGGCACUUUUACCUUGGGACAUGGCCAGGGGUGUAUGUGGUCCAUUUUUCCUGUCAUUAAGAAGUGCUGUUGAAGCCUCUUUCUUCUCACGGGCUUCACGACGUCUUUUAAGAAUAUCAUCUUUAUUGCGUGCAUAAUACUUUUUUUUCCUCUGCCUCUUCAAUUCUUCAAGGUAUGUUAUAAAUACAUACCGCAACUUAGCACAUAAGCAACAGCAAAACAGUAGAGCAAAGUAGGAACUGGUUGAUGAUAGUUACCCAAUGUCUGGUUGUUGCUUAUAUCCUGAAAUGGGGUGCGCGCCCCCGCACUAUUGGGAGAUGUCAUACCUUCACCUUCAUGUGAAUAUUCAUGCCAUUAAAUUUUGAGAAGCAUGGAAACUGUGGAAAUUAAUCAUGAACACCACCAUUAGAUGCAAACAUAGUACACUGUCCUUUCUCUUGAUAUUGUGUUUCAGCAGAGUUCUACUUUGACAUUAAAAUCAAUUUUGAAUGGCAGAUCCCCUUAUUGGACCACAUUAAGUUGUUGGCCCUGCUAUUUAACGUCCAUGGUGAUGCUGAUGAUGAUCUUGGCAGGGGUAAUGCUUUGAUUUCAUAGACCUGUUGCUUUGAUAGCUAGAGAACUAAUUUCUCAAGAGGACUUGAUUUAGUGUUCUUAUGAUAUUUUUUAGCUGGCGCUGUUUUUUUUUCAUGGAUUUUUUCUGUCCACUACAUCAUAAAUCUGGUAAUAUAAAAGUAAUAUCUAUUUUUGAUUAUGUAAUGACCGACUGUUAUCUUGCUUCUUACUCAUGUAUCUUCAGAUUUAUGUAUCUGCCUGGGGUCUUGGCAUGUCCUUGAGCACGCAUCAGGUAUCUAUGUAUCUGUUGGUAUCUUAGUGCACUUUGUAGUUUCAGAGUAGCACUCUAUAAUUUGGCACAUGCUGACAUGCCUAUGAGUGUAUAUGUAUGUGCAUGUGUACUGGCCAUAGGCCCGAGCUGAAACUAAUUAUGAUUAAUUUGCUCGUUCUGUGAUGUGCGCUUACAUUAAUACCAUUGGCACCUUUGUAAAUUCUAUAAGCUAAAUCCAAUAUUGUAGGUGUUCUGCGACAACUCAAGUCACCUUCGUAAAUUCAGAAAGCCAAGGAGACAGGGUGCAUGAUUCAGUUAGUUACAAAAUUGCAGUAGCCAAAACACUAACCAUGUUCCACAUAGAAAACCAUUAAUUACAGAUAUAAAACGAACGGCUUAUAGCAUUAUGCUGUGCAACUGUUUGUUUUUUAGAACUCUAUUCUGAAAAUUCUAAUCCUGUAUAAUGUUGCAAUAGGUGAAAGGAAGAAGUUGAACCUGAAGAAGGGCAGGGAAGAAUUAUAGCUUUGUGUGGCCGGCUGGUUCAGGGGACGUGCAGGGCGGGCGCGGCUCCGCGGGUGCCGAGGCAGGCUCCUGGGUGGCUAUCUCGCGGAUGGGCCACACUGCAAGGGCAGGUUCGUGGGCGCCCGCUAUCUUGCUGACGGAUUACACGCUGUGAGCAGCAACAAUCGGCGGUGGCGAUCUUGCAGGGAGGCGACCGAGCGGUGCAGUGCCGCGAGGUAUCGAUGCGGGCAGGAGACGGGGUUGGUGGGAGGCACCCUGAUCAAGGGCGAGGGAAGCUAAUUUAGUUGAGUUUCCUUAUUAGUUUGCGAUCACAAUUGCAUAAUUGUAGGGGACGUGGGCUGGUACUUGGAAUAUUCCUCCGGUGGUGGAGUACGGUCAGUCAUAGGAAUUUGCUAAGUGCACACCGUAGAGGUAUUAGAUCAAUGAUGGCUGUUAGAUUAGGACAUGUGGGACUAAUUGUGUGGUGUUGAUUGGUUCGUAUGUUUUGUGGUACUAAUUUUUGGGUGCACAUAAGAAAGUUCUUGUUUGAUUGUUUAAUAAUAGUGGAGAUGGAGAUAAUAUCUAUUUUUGAUUAUGUAAUGACCGACUGUUAUCUUGCUUCUUACUCAUGUAUCUUCAGAUUUAUGUAUCUGCCUGGGGUCUUGGCAUGUCCUUGAGCACGCAUCAGGUAUGUAUGUAUCUGUUGGUAUCUUAGUGCACUUUGUAGUUUCAGAGUAGCACUCUAUAAUUUGGCACAUACUGACAUGCCUAUGAGUGUAUAUGUAUGUGCAUGUGUACUGGCCAUAGGCCCGAGCUGAAACUAAUUAUGAUUAAUUUGCUCGUUCUAUGAUGUGCGCUUACAUUAAUACCAUUGGCACCUUUGUAAAUUCUAUAAGCUAAAUCCAAUAUUGUAGGUGUUCUGCGACAACUCAAGUCACCUUCGUAAAUUCAGAAAGCCAAGGAGACAGGGUGCAUGAUUCAGUUAGUUACAAAAUUGCAGUAGUCAAAACACUAACCAUGUUCCACAUAGAAAACCAUUAAUUACAGAUAUAAAACGAACGGCUUAUAGCAUUAUGCUGUGCAACUGUUUGUUUUUUAGAACUCUAUUCUGAAAAUUCUAAUCCUGUAUAAUGUUGCAAUAGGUGAAAGGAAGAAGUUGAACCUGAAGAAGGGUAGGGAAGAAUUAUAGCUUUGUGUGGCCGGCUGGUUCAGGGGACGUGCAGGGCGGGCGCGGCUCCGCGGGUGCCGAGGCAGGCUCCUGGGCAGUGGCUAUCUUGCGGAUGGGCCACACUGCAAGGGCAGGUUCGUGGGCGCCCGCUAUCUCGCUGACGGAUUACACGCUGUGAGCAGCAACAAUCGGCGGUGGCGAUCUUGCAGGGAGGCGACCGAGCGGUGCAGUGCCGCGAGGUAUCGAUGCGGGCAGGAGACGGGGUUGGUGGGAGGCACCCUGAUCAAGGGCGAGGGAAGCUAAUUUAGUUGAGUUUCCUUAUUAGUUUGCGAUCACAAUUGCGUGUGUAGGGGACGUGGGCUGGUACUUGGAAUAUUCCUCCGGUGGUGGAGUACGGUCAGUCAUAGGAAUUUGCUAAGUGCACAUCGUAGAGGUAUUAGAUCAAUGAUGGCUGUUAGAUUAGGACAUGUGGGACUAAUUGUGUGGUGUUGAUUGGUUCGUAUGUUUUGUGGUACUAAUUUUUGGGUGCACAUAAGAAAGUUCUUGUUUGAUUGUUUAAUAGUAGUGGAGAU
Molecule: long non-coding RNA, 3867 nt
Filed under: Triticum aestivum (bread wheat)
Lineage: Eukaryota; Viridiplantae; Streptophyta; Magnoliopsida; Poales; Poaceae
Description: long non-coding RNA (TAES_LNC012155)
Source: RNAcentral